AACGAACGCUGGCGGCGUGCUUAACACAUGCAAGUCGAACGGACUGGGGGGCUUGCUCCUCAGUUAGUGGCGCACGGGUGAGUAACACGUGGACAACCUGCCCUGGAGUCCGGGACAACAUCUCGAAAGGGGUGCUAAUACCGGAUAAGCCCACGGGGACUUAGGUCCCUGCGGGAAAAGGAGGCCUCUGAUCCAAGCUUCCGCUUCUGGAUGGGUCCGCGUCCCAUCAGCUAGUUGGUAGGGUAACGGCCUACCAAGGCGACGACGGGUAGCUGGUCUGAGAGGAUGAUCAGCCACACUGGAACUGAGACACGGUCCAGACUCCUACGGGAGGCAGCAGUGGGGAAUUUUGCGCAAUGGGGGAAACCCUGACGCAGCAACGCCGCGUGGGUGAUGAAGGCCUUUGGGUCGUAAAGCCCUGUCAGAGGGGAAGAAACGUGCGGGGCUAAUAUCCUUUGCACUUGACGGUACCCUCAAAGGAAGCACCGGCUAACUCCGUGCCAGCAGCCGCGGUAAUACGGGA
This 523-nucleotide ribosomal RNA is filed under the name uncultured bacterium. RNAcentral's name for it is "bacterial SSU rRNA". It matches the Rfam family "Bacterial small subunit ribosomal RNA", at positions 29 to 530 of the family's 1533-position model. The record is from RNAcentral.